CAGUAGGGAAUCUUCCACAAUGGACGCAAGUCUGAUGGAGCAACGCCGCGUGAGUGAAGAAGGUCUUCGGAUCGUAAAACUCUGUUGUUAGAGAAGGACACGAGUGAGAGUAACUGUUCAUUCGAUGACGGUAUCUAACCAGCAAGUCACGGCUAACUACGUGCCAG
Molecule: ribosomal RNA, 167 nt
Filed under: uncultured bacterium
Lineage: Bacteria
Description: partial 16S rRNA
Rfam family: Bacterial small subunit ribosomal RNA
Source: RNAcentral